RNAcentral lists this ribosomal RNA (277 nucleotides) under uncultured prokaryote. Its description in RNAcentral is "partial 16S ribosomal RNA". It matches the Rfam family "Bacterial small subunit ribosomal RNA", at positions 524 to 801 of the family's 1533-position model. The record is from RNAcentral.
UACGUAGGGGGCUAGCGUUAUCCGGAAUUACUGGGCGUAAAGGGUGCGUAGGUGGUUUCUUAAGUCAGAGGUGAAAGGCUACGGCUCAACCGUAGUAAGCCUUUGAAACUGGGAAACUUGAGUGCAGGAGAGGAGAGUGGAAUUCCUAGUGUAGCGGCGAAAUGCGUAGAUAUUAGGAGGAACACCAGUUGCGAAGGCGGCUCUCUGGACUGUAACUGACACUGAGGCACGAAAGCGUGGGGAGCAAACAGGAUUAGAUACCCCCGUAGUCCCUGAG